Molecule: non-coding RNA, 151 nt
Organism: Hydra vulgaris (swiftwater hydra)
Lineage: Eukaryota; Metazoa; Cnidaria; Hydrozoa; Anthoathecata; Hydridae
Source: RefSeq, a predicted model, not a curated record
CAUGCUUACGCAGUUUUAUGGGUGUUAUGUGUAUUUGUGUAGCAUCGCAUCAAGAUUUCCUGCGAUAUCGCUCCCAGCACCCAGGUCCGAUAUCUCAAAGAGCUUUCUACCGGUGGUGUCAAUAUGGGGGAGAUGAUCCCUCCUUUAGAUG